Molecule: non-coding RNA, 276 nt
Organism: Schizosaccharomyces pombe (fission yeast)
Lineage: Eukaryota; Fungi; Ascomycota; Schizosaccharomycetes; Schizosaccharomycetales; Schizosaccharomycetaceae
Source: the annotation of a GenBank genome assembly
AACACCGACCAAACCAAUAAUGUUACCAGCAGGACAAUCCUCAAUAGGCUCAAUUCUGGAACCCAUCAUAAGGACGGUACGUUGGAUAGCCUUGAUGAAGAGAUCGUCCUUCUUACCGGGAACAUAGUUAGGGCCUUGAAUGCGGACCUUCAAACCAGAACGGACAGUACCGGAGAAGACACGACCAAAAGCAUAGAAACGACCACGAUCAGAUGUGGGAACCAUCUUAGAAACGUAGAUCAUAAGAGGAGCAUUGGCAUCACAGUUACGGAUACC